CCCAACAGGCAUAUAUCGUUUUAUACCUACACACAUACUAUUAGCAGCCAAGCCACUAAGCCAAACUAUAGCUGCAGUUGCAGUGCGUCGACUGCGCUAAUACGCGAGGCCACAUACACACACGCUUAACGCCGAUUGCCGCCGCUAUUAUUCUUUGCCUGCCGCGUGCCUCCAUUUGUUGACACCAACUGUUUGUUCGUGAUUGUUUUGUUUCUCGUUCCCUUGUGCUGCUGCUGUUUAUUUUUGUUAUUGUUAUUUUGGUUGUUGUUGUUGUUGUUUUGGUUGAUGUUGUUUUUGAUGUUGAUGUUAUAGUUGCGACUCUCCUUGCAGUGGAGAGAAUCGCAGCGCGUCGAACGUGCGCGACUCGAGGAUCGCUUCGUACUGCCGAUUUCGAGCUGUAGUGAGGACUGAGCAGUAGUAGUACAGUGCCGCAACUGAUAUACCUACAUGUAUAGCAGCUCGUUCAGUGCCGAGUAAAAGUGUCGGAAUACAUGGAAAAGAUUUGGUAAUCGUUGCGACACCGACAACAGCGACAUCAACGAGCAUCCUAAUAAUGCUCCAGUGACAAUUGUGCCUAUAUUCUACGAAUGGAGAACGGACUACUCUUGCUGUGCCGUUCGCUCCAUCGUAAUAUGCAGGCGAUGCCGUUGCAGCAGUUGUCUUGCCGCCGGUAGCGACUCGCCUAAAAGUCCUCUUUUCCACUGGCCAGCACCAACAGCACUAGACAUGUGAAACUCGCCAGUUGCCGUAAUUAGUACAUAUCGUAGUUUGUAGACGACUACUUUUUUUUACUUUUUUUUUUACGUUCUUUUUUACUUGUGCACUGGCUGCCCGGGCUAGUCAUCGAUCUUCGAGCGCAGAGAUCGAAUUCAGACGACGCUUACAUUGAGCCUAGAAGCCGGCAUCGAUCGGCAGCCUCGAGAAUCUUCCUAGCAAGUUGCCAAUAUUCUCUGUGCCAUAAAAACAAGCAAAGACCAUUCCAAAAUAAGACGGAUCCAACUGGCGACUGGAACAAUUCUGUGAUAAGGGGGAACACAUUGUGCCUUGAAAUUUGCCAUAUUUACGAAACACAGUCAAAGAGAAGCGAGACGAAGAGGAGGAGAAAAUAAUUCAAAAAGCCAAGCAGACAAGACAACUUUGAGAAACGAAUUAGUUUGUUUCGUUGCCAUUAUAUGAAAAUCAAAACGAGAGAGAAUGUCAACGUGCACCGAGGCGGACAGUAACGCGGCAGCAGCAGCAGCAGCAGCAACUCUUCACAUGCAGGAGGCCCUCUCACCGGUCCAAGAGGCGCCAGUCUCGCCGGCUUCCUCGUCGAUGAGCAAUCCAACGACGCAGCCCGAGCCAACGAAUGAGCAGCAGCAGCAGCAACAGGUACUCUUAGCUACGAUGCAGCCGGUCGGCGUAUUGGACCUUCACGAGCACCAUAACCCGACAGCUCACAUCUCAUUGCACCCAAAAUAUCAUCACCAUCACCACCAUCACCAUCACGUCCAUCCGAAAUACAGCCAUCAUUUGCACAGCAGCGCCAAUCAUCAUCACUCGACUAACAGCGAUGCUAACGAUCAGGUGCCGACCGACUCGGAAGACGGCCAAGCCCAAGCCGAGCGAGUGACGCCGGUCGUGGUGAGCGAGCACGACGAGGAGACCGGCCACAAGAUGAUCGAUCUCAUCUACAACGACGGCCAGAAGACCAUCAUGUACACCCACGACAAGGAGAUCAUAUACGAGAACGAGGCGGACCGGGUGCAGGUGGUCGAGUACCCGCCGCCCGAGCCGUCGCCUCCGUCGCCGUCGUCGCCGUCGAGGGGCGCCAGCGCCGGCCUCAUCCCCCUGAACUACGUGGCCAAGGCGAGCUCGAGCAACGGACAGCCGACGACCCUGCACCUGCACUACAAUCAGCUGCAACUGGCCUCCGAUCAGGAUCUGCCGAGGGCCCUGGUCAACGGCGCCAGCGUACCGACCACGGCGACGGUUCUCGUGCUCUCCGAGCUGGUGGAUCCGUCGGGCAACGGAGUCGUCGCUACUGCCCCGCUGACCCUGGCCACCGCUGCCUCUCUGCGCGCUGCCGGACGACGCAAUCGUAACGAGGAGGACUCUGGCGUCGUGGUAACAGUGGGCAGCGACGAAGCUUACGUAUCAGCGGCCAACGACUCGUCGGUGACGGCGGCAACCCGAGAGCAGCAGCAGCAGCAGCAGAACCUCGAAGACGGAACGAGCGUCGGAGAGGCCAACGAGCGACUGCAGCAGGAACAAGAGCAGCGGGAUCAGCAGCGGAACGCCGCCUCGAGCGGCCGAGUCGAGAACGACGACGAGGAUUCGGCCCAGGGCCAGAGCAGAGUCGCGACUAUUCAGGUCCAAGUGCAGGGUAUGGAAACUGAGUGGAGAAACGCUUACGGCGAGCAUCCCCUGUCAGCAGCGACCACAGCGAUGUUGCACCUCCAGCCACAGCAUCAAGUCCAAGUCUCAGCGGUAACGGGCCAUCCAGUCGACGACGAGCAGCAGCCACAGCACGUCGUCAAUCCCUUCAACGUCUACGAGUUCUACAAGAUGCCCGACAAGGAGGUCGUCUUGCCCGGCAACGUAAACAUGAAGCUGCCGUCGACCCACGAGCUCUGGGGCAAAUACGUGCCUCAGCACGAGCACGAGAGCAGCGGCAUGAUGAACCCGAACAAAGUCAUGGGCCAGGACGCGGAGCCACAAAGCGGCGAGCUGCAGCACUAUCUGCAGCACUACCAGCAGCAGCCAUCCCACAGUCCGACCGCAGCGACGGCGCUGCAGCAGUCGGGUCUGCCGCUGCCGCUGAGUCCACAGUCGGGCCAACAGGCCCUCGUCGGGGUGAAGCGCGAGCCCGAGGACCUGAGCUCGCGGGGAGGCCUGCAGCAGCCCGCCUCGAAGCGCCACAAGCUCAGCCAGCAGCAGCAGCAGCAACAGCAGCAGCAACCCGACAGUCCACCCCAGGUGAUGUACCACCCGCAGCACCAUCAGCUGCAGAGCCACCUGUCGACGGCGUACGGGGCCUCGCCCUACGACCCCUACGGCAACAACAGUCCGCGGCACUACGCGAGCCACUACAACGGGGCGAGCGUCUCGUCGGUGUCGAGCGUCGGCCUCGUGCAGCACCAGCACCAGGAGCACAUCUACGCGCCGAGCAACGAGCUGCCGCCCAUGGUGUCGACCGUCACCUCGCUGCCCUCGUCCACGGCGGCCUCCUACACCCGAUACGACGUGGUGCCCAGCACCUAUACGACUAGUCAAAACAUGAGGUCGGCAGCCUCUCAGAGCAACACGCCCAACAGCAAUAACAACAACAACAACAACAACAACAACAAUAACAAUAACAACAAUAACAACAACAAGGCGCUGCUGGUCGAUCUGCCGAGCCCCGACUCGGGCAUCGGCACCGACGCCUCCACCCCGAGACAGGACCACCCGCAACCAACCACUAUUCAGCAGACUUUCGAUUACACGGAGCUGUGCUCGAGCAACGGAGGCAACGGCGGCGCCGGAGUCAUCCUGGAGUCGAGCCAGGUCAUGAGCGGCCAGCACCAUCAGCCGUCCUCGCUCCAGCUGCAGAUGCACCAGUCGGUCCAGCCGGGACAGCUGCAGCGGAGCAACAGCACAGGUGGUCUGGUCAUCCCGAGCGGCGCCACCACACCGAACUCGACGAGCGGCGCCUCCGUCGGCAGGAGGCCCUGGCACGAUUUCGGCCGGCAAAACGACGCCGACAAAAUUCAGAUUCCAAAGCUCUACUCGCGCUACGGCUACAAGUAUUAUUUGGAAUCGCCGAUCAGCACGUCUCAAAGACGGGAAGACGAUCGGAUAACCUACAUCAACAAAGGACAAUUUUAUGGAAUAACGCUAGACUACACGCCCGAUCCCGACAAGUCAUCUAAUUUCAAGCCGGGACAGACAGUAAAGAGCGUCAUCAUGCUUAUGUUCCGUGAAGAAAAAUCCGCAGAAGAUGAGAUCAAGGCUUGGCAAUUCUGGCACGGUCGACAGCACUCGGUCAAGCAGCGAAUUCUCGAUGCCGACACUAAAAACAGCGUGGGUUUGACUGGGCACAUCGAAGAGGUAGCGCACAACGCCAUCGCUGUUUAUUGGACUCCAUCGGAAUCUCCGGCCAAGAUCAACGUAGCCGUGCAAUGCCUCAGCACAGACUUCUCGAGUCAAAAGGGAGUCAAGGGACUGCCGCUGCACAUUCAAAUAGACACUUACGAGGAUCUGUCGUCGUCUCACGCGGGCUACAGCCCACCACAGAAUCGGGCCUACUGUCAGAUCAAGGUGUUCUGCGACAAGGGCGCGGAGCGCAAGACCCGCGACGAGGAGAGGCGAGCCGCCAAGCGGAAGCUCGCCGUCAACGGGCGCAAAAAGAACGAGGACAUGUACCACCAGAGCACGGAGCGCUCGGAAUUCUACACCAUGUCCGAGCUGAACAAACCGCCGGUCUUCUUCUCUCCGUCGGCCGAGAACUCCAUUGACAAGUUUUCGCCAAUGGAGUUGUCGGGCUACUAUGGCGGCGGAGGAAGUAGCGCUGGCGCUGCUAAUGGGCCCGAUACCGAUACGUCGUCCCUCAGCAACGGCGAGAGCAGCGGUUUGAAGGCCGCCAGUCCCUACGGCAACGGCCGAGCGAGCCUGCCGGCCCUCAAGUUCCACAAUCACUUUCCGCCCGAUCAAAUUAACUUGCAUGACAAAAAGGACAACAUGAUGAUGCAGGUGCAGGAGCUGCAGGGCUCGAUGCCGACCCCCUCGCCGCCGAGCAACCGUCUGCGCAUGGCCCAGAUGCGAGGAGAGAGCGACCGACUGAUGCUCUACAUCAGGCAGCAGAACGAUCAGAUCUUCACACCGGUUCACGUGACGCCCCCGACUACCCAGGCGCUCAUUAAUGCUGAAUCUUCAGGACAUUAUAUCGGAGUCUGAUAGUAAAUCCUUCAGAUCCCACCUCACAGAAAACUACUUAGAUAGAGUCAAAGUUUAAAUUCCCAAGAGCACAAAUAUGUAACAUUUUAAGGAAAAAUAUCGAAGGCAUCACUGUUCUAAUGGAUGAUGAU
This 5048-nucleotide unclassified non-coding RNA is filed under the name Trichogramma pretiosum. Its description in RNAcentral is "protein grainyhead, transcript variant X1". Lineage: Eukaryota; Metazoa; Arthropoda; Insecta; Hymenoptera; Trichogrammatidae. The record is from RNAcentral.